GUUUCGUUGGCCCAAAAUGGUUAGAGCGUCCGUUUCGGAUGCGAGAGGUCAUGGGUUCGAUUCCCGGUCGAGUCA
Molecule: non-coding RNA, 75 nt
Organism: Potamilus streckersoni
Lineage: Eukaryota; Metazoa; Mollusca; Bivalvia; Unionida; Unionidae
Source: the annotation of a GenBank genome assembly